GAUGAACGCUGGCGGCGUGCCUAAUACAUGCAAGUCGAGCGAACGGACGAGAAGCUUGCUUCUCUGAUGUUAGCGGCGGACGGGUGAGUAACACGUGGAUAACCUACCUAUAAGACUGGGAUAACUUCGGGAAACCGGAGCUAAUACCGGAUAAUAUUUUGAACCGCAUGGUUCAAAAGUGAAAGACGGUCUUGCUGUCACUUAUAGAUGGAUCCGCGCUGCAUUAGCUAGUUGGUAAGGUAACGGCUUACCAAGGCAACGAUGCAUAGCCGACCUGAGAGGGUGAUCGGCCACACUGGAACUGAGACACGGUCCAGACUCCUACGGGAGGCAGCAGUAGGGGAUCUUCCGCAAAGGGCGAAAGCCUGACGGAGCAACGCCGCGUGAGUGAUGAAGGUCUUCGGAUCGUAAAACUCUGUUAUUAGGGAAGAACAUAUGUGUAAGUAACUGUGCACAUCUUGACGGUACCUAAUCAGAAAGCCACGGCUAACUACGUG
Molecule: ribosomal RNA, 497 nt
Filed under: uncultured bacterium
Lineage: Bacteria
Description: partial 16S ribosomal RNA
Rfam family: Bacterial small subunit ribosomal RNA
Source: RNAcentral